AGCCGCAUUUGCACUGAUCCUGCUUGU
RNAcentral lists this small RNA (27 nucleotides) under Sinorhizobium meliloti 2011. RNAcentral's name for it is "putative ncRNA". The record is from RNAcentral. Lineage: Bacteria; Pseudomonadati; Pseudomonadota; Alphaproteobacteria; Hyphomicrobiales; Rhizobiaceae.